AGCACCCUUUGGGUGUGACUGCGUACCUUUUGUAUAAUGGGUCAGCGACUUAUAUUCUGUAGCAAGGUUAACCGAAUAGGGGAGCCGGAGGGAAACCGAGUCUUAACCGGGCGUUAAGUUGCAGGGUAUAGACCCGAAACCCGGUGAUCUAGCCAUGGGCAGGUUGAAGGUUGGGUAACACUAACUGGAGGACCGAACCGACUAAUGUUGAAAAAUUAGCGGAUGACCUGUGGCUGGGGGUGAAAGGCCAAUCAAACCGGGAGAUAGCUGGUUCUCCCCGAAAGCUAUUUAGGUAGCGCCUCGUGAAUUCAUCUCCGGGGGUAGAGCACUGUUUCGGCUAGGGGGCCAUCCCGGCUUACCAACCCGAUGCAAACUGCGAAUACCGGAGAAUGUUAUCACGGGAGACACACGGCGGGUGCUAACGUCCGUCGUGAAGAGGGAAACAACCCAGACCGCCAGCUAAGGUCCCAAAGUCAUGGUUAAGUGGGAAACGAUGUGGGAAGGCCCAGACAGCCAGGAUGUUGGCUUAGAAGCAGCCAUCAUUUAAAGAAAGCGUAAUAGCUCACUGGUCGAGUCGGCCUGCGCGGAAGAUGUAACGGGGCUAAACCAUGCACCGAAGCUGCGGCAGCGACACUGUGUGUUGUUGGGUAGGGGAGCGUUCUGUAAGCCUGUGAAGGUGUGUCGUGAGGCAUGCUGGAGGUAUCAGAAGUGCGAAUGCUGACAUAAGUAACGAUAAAGCGGGUGAAAAGCCCGCUCGCCGGAAGACCAAGGGUUCCUGUCCAACGUUAAUCGGGGCAGGGUGAGUCGACCCCUAAGGCGAGGCCGAAAGGCGUAGUCGAUGGGAAACGGGUUAAUAUUCCCGUACUUGGUGUUACUGCGAAGGGGGGACGGAGAAGGCUAUGUUGGCCGGG
Molecule: ribosomal RNA, 911 nt
Filed under: Salmonella enterica
Lineage: Bacteria; Pseudomonadati; Pseudomonadota; Gammaproteobacteria; Enterobacterales; Enterobacteriaceae
Also listed under: 1 other name
Description: partial 23S ribosomal RNA
Rfam family: Bacterial large subunit ribosomal RNA
Source: RNAcentral